GACGAACGCUGACGGCGUGCUUAACACAUGCAAGUCGUGCGAGAAAAUUCCCUUCGGGGGAUGAGUACAGUGGCGAACGGGUGAGUAACACGUGGGCAAUCUGCCCUGUACUUUGGGAUAAGCCUUGGAAACGAGGUCUAAUACCGGAUAUGAUGAGUCCUCGCAUGGGGGUUUGUUGAAAGUUCCGGCGGUACAGGAUGAGCCCGCGGCCUAUCAGCUUGUUGGUGGGGUAAUGGCCACCAAGGCGACGACGGGUAGCCGGCCUGAGAGGGCGACCGGCCACACUGGGACUGAGACACGGCCCAGACUCCUACGGGAGGCAGCAGUGGGGAAUAUUGCACAAUGGGCGAAAGCCUGAUGCAGCGACGCCGCGUGAGGGAUGACGGCCU
RNAcentral lists this ribosomal RNA (389 nucleotides) under uncultured bacterium. RNAcentral describes it as "bacterial SSU rRNA". It matches the Rfam family "Bacterial small subunit ribosomal RNA", at positions 28 to 417 of the family's 1533-position model. The record is from RNAcentral.